RNAcentral lists this ribosomal RNA (423 nucleotides) under uncultured bacterium. RNAcentral describes it as "bacterial SSU rRNA". It matches the Rfam family "Bacterial small subunit ribosomal RNA", at positions 917 to 1344 of the family's 1533-position model. The record is from RNAcentral.
GGGCCCGCACAAGCGGUGGAGCAUGUGGUUUAAUUCGAUGAUACGCGAGGAACCUUACCAGGGCUUAAAUGCAGAACGACCGGGGUGGAAACACCCCUUUCUUCGGACGGUCUGCAAGGUGCUGCAUGGUUGUCGUCAGCUCGUGCUGUGAAGUGUCGGGUUAAGUCCCAUAACGAGCGCAACCCCUAUUUCUAGUUGCCAGCGGUUCGGCCGGGGACUCUAGAGAAACUGCCAGCGUAAGCUGUGAGGAAGGUGGGGAUGACGUCAAAUCAUCACGGCCCUUACGUCCUGGGCCACACACGUGCUACAAUGGUGGGGACAACGAGUCGCAAACCCGCGAGGGUAAGCUAAUCUUCAAACCCCAUCUCAGUUCGGAUCGGAGUCUGCAACUCGACUCCGUGAAGUUGGAAUCGCUAGUAAUCG